This 64-nucleotide transfer RNA is filed under the name Protobothrops kaulbacki. RNAcentral's name for it is "tRNA-Glu". The record is from RNAcentral. Lineage: Eukaryota; Metazoa; Chordata; Lepidosauria; Squamata; Viperidae.
UGUUUUUGUAGUUGAUGUACAACGGUGGUUUUUCGGGCCACAGGACUCCGAGAGAGCAAGAAUU